Molecule: RNA transcript, 3428 nt
Organism: Passer domesticus (house sparrow)
Lineage: Eukaryota; Metazoa; Chordata; Aves; Passeriformes; Passeridae
Gene: LIN52
Gene name: lin-52 DREAM MuvB core complex component
Exons: 8
Source: RefSeq, a predicted model, not a curated record
CGAGCGUGGCGGCCCGGCCCCGCCCGGCCCAGCGCCGCCCCGCGGCGGCCGCGAGAGCGGCGCGUGGGGCUCGGGGGCGGGGUUUGUUUUCGCUCCCGCGCGGCCGCGGCGCGAGGGCGGUCACGUGAGGCGCGCGCCAUGGCGGCUCCGGCGGACGGCGCCGACCUGGAGGCCUCGCUGCUGAGCUUCGAGAAGCUGGACCGCGCCUCCCCGGACCUGUGGCCCGAGCAGCUGCCCGGCGUUGCCGAGUUCGCCGCCUCCUUCAAAAGCCCCAUUACAAGUUCUCCUCCCAAGUGGAUGGCUGAAUUAGAAAAUGAUGAUAUUGAUAUGUUGAAGGAGCUGGGGAGCCUUACUACAGCUAAUCUGAUGGAAAAAGUUCGUGGUCUGCAGAACCUGGCUUAUCAACUGGGACUGGAUGAAUGUCUCUCUUGGGAGAGGAACACGCUUUGCUACCAGUGUCAGAGAAGUGUUGGCUUUGAUUUGCAUUAACGUGCCAGGAGAUUAGGUUGCAAUGGGAAAGAUGCUGUGGUGGACAUUGAUGCUAGAGAAAUGACUCGAGGGAAAUUCCUGAACAUCCUAGAGAAACCCAAAAAGUAACUGCACAUAACAUUUGGAUGAAAAUACCCCAACUAAGUCAUUUUAUGUACUGCAGAUCCAGAUGAAGCCCAGAAAGUCUAAGAAGAACAAAGCUCUUGCUGUAGACCUUCAGAAGCAAGCAUCUCUUUUUGCUUCCACAGCUCAUCUCUUCAUGGGAGAAAAGUACAAUAUGCAGAGGUCACAGGGACUGCAGUUGGUUGCACUGGAAUUCAGACUUCAUCUGACCAUAGGAUGUGCAGCAGGAGGACUUGGCCCUGACGUGCUGUGACACAGUUACCUGUUCAAUCAGCAGCUCAAAGUGAGCAGCCUUACUCAGCUGCUCUCAGCCUGUUUGAGGUACACAGCAGAUCUGACACUGGCCAGUGUCCAUCAUGAGGCCUUGACCUUUGGUGUGUCCUCUGUCUUAGAUGCAUUGAUUUCCUGUGUGCAACGUCUGUGCUGAAGGACUUGAGCAUAGUUUGGGGUGUGGAUUGACCAGGAGCACUGGCUCAGCAGGAGCACAUGCUUUUAGUGUAGAAGCCAAGUGCAGUCUCUGCAUCAGAUUCCAGCUGCCCACUGCCUUCAGAGAAGCACGUCUGGUACCCCGAGGAAGAGCUCCAGACCUUCUGUGUGCCAGGAGCUUCAUUUCACUGCUGAGUGCUUCUCUAAGUGAAAUUGAAACAGACCACAGGGAGUAAGAAGUGUGACUGUGUCUCCAGGAUGAUAUCCUCACUGAAGCUUUGGCCAGUACACAAAGAAACAGCUUUGUCAGUCCUCUGCAGUUCUUUGCUUCUUAUAGGGCUAGAAACUGGAAAGAGUUGUAAAGUUGAAAGAUGGUAAUGUUUUCAGUUAUCACUCCAAGAAGUGGCAUCAGGACUGUUAGCCACAUUGUGAAGAUUGUCUGCCUAUACAGGAUCUCAAUGUUUCUGAAAAUAAUGUUUUGUGGUGUUUUUUAAUUGCUUAUAAACCAGCACCUCAAAAUUUUCUUCUCCUACAAACCCAGAAUUUUAAAGAUAAAAACUUCUGUGAGCUGCUCCCUUUCAGAACACUGUGAUUACCAUUUAAUGCCUUUUUCUUCUGUUCAUGCAAUUCUACAUAUUCACCUCUUGGAAGAGGUAUAGAGCAUGUUCAGACUUUCAGUUUUAUUUAAGAAAAUUUUUUUUUCAUUCCGUCCUCUUUCCUUUUCCUAGAAAAAAACAUUUUAAGCAUUAGUAAAUAUGUUCUUUUUUAGGAUAUAACAUAAUGUUGAAACAUAACAUAAUGUUAUUUUUAUCAUGCGGGCUUUUCAAAACGUGUCAUUCCUCAGGCUGUAGUCACAUAUGAGAGGAGAAAUUAUUUGGAAAUAAUACAUGUAGCUGUCCUUACAGCUCUGCAUUUUUCUGGCUUUGCAGAGAGAGGAGACUCUUUUUGGGUGUGUGUGCAAUAAAGAGGGGGAGGUGUUUUUGAUGAAAUAGACUUCUGAGUUUUACUGAAUUGAUGGUGACCCUUUGGGUUGCAGUCUGUGGAUUUUGGUUAUUGCCAGCAGAACUAGUCUUGUUUUGGACAGCUCUGAUUAACUAAGUUUAAGUAGUUAAAUCCUACAUCCUGGAAAGACCCUGCACAAAUUUAGAAAUAUCAGGAGCCUGAUUUAAGACUCAACGGAGUUAUUUCUGUCCUUCACAGUUUAUGCAGGGCUGAGCUUAACAGGAACUCCAUCCCUUGAGAGCAUGAGAAUUAAGACAGAUGAAUGAGAAGCUGAAAGUGGUAGUUCAGGAACAGAAAAAAACCCGAUGGUGCAAACUGAUGUUGAUGUAGCUUUAAGCAUUGAAUUAUAGAUUUGGAAUGCAAAUUUAAGUUUGUAUACUAUAUAUGUAAUAAAUGUACACAUAUAUGACAUAAUGGGAUACUUAAUCUGUAUCACCAGAAAAUAUAUGGAAGCCUGUCGUGGAAGUAUAUGUGUAUUUUCUGAUAUAUGCAGUAAGAAAUUUCAAACUAGGUGUUUUUUGGUGACAUACAUAUGUUUAAAAAAAAAGAAAAAGAAAAAAAAAGAAGAAAAAUCUCCUUUUGUUAUACAUAGUAAUCAUCUUCUAUAGGGCAGCCAUUAACAUAUGCUUUAGAAUUGUGAUAUUUUUUGAUUUUGUACUUAUCAUCUGUAGAGAUAAGUCAAUGAUGUUAUUUUUUAUUGACAAUAUUUAUGUAUAGUUUUGUGUGUUAGCCAGAUAAGUUUUUUUUCUGUCUGUUAUUGCUUUUUGGUUUAAUAAUAUGCAAAUGCAAACCUCAGAGGUUUGUCUGGGUUUCCAAAAUAGCUGUCUGAUAGCCACCCAAUAGUGGCUUUUGCUUGGCCACUUAGGCAAUACUAUUCCUCAGGCUCUUCUUCACUUAUCUGCAUGACACCACCUCAGGGUUUGGCCUGUGGAUGUUCCAUUCCCAUCAGUAAAUAAAUAUUUGUCAAUAUACAAAUCCUACUAAGGGUUUUCUUACCCUUUUGAAGUUUUUCCUUCAGUGCUAUCCUUCCUGACAUCCAUGCAGUUAUCUGUCUGUACAAGAAAAUCUGAAUGACUUUUUGUUACUGAUGGGAAUGAAGAGUAUAAGAAAAUCAAGAUUUGGUAAUAUUAAUCAAGCUUACGCAUUGUUUUAGAAAGUGUUUUCAUGUAUUGGUAUAUUAGAUGUUACUGUGAGUUUCUUGGAAGUAAACUCAAUAUUUAUUUGGUUCCUUUUAAAUGCCAGUGUUACAUACAUUCAGUUACAAAGGCUAUUCACUUUGGUCUUGGGCUAUCAAAUGCUUUGCUAUCUAAUCCAACUGAGAAAAAAUUCUUGUUUGUUAUGUUAAUCAUUAUGAAAAUAAAAGUCUGUGUGCACUGGCAAUUGAAUAA